Molecule: ribosomal RNA, 555 nt
Filed under: Filobasidium uniguttulatum
Lineage: Eukaryota; Fungi; Basidiomycota; Tremellomycetes; Filobasidiales; Filobasidiaceae
Description: eukaryotic LSU rRNA
Rfam family: Eukaryotic large subunit ribosomal RNA
Source: RNAcentral
UAACAAGGAUUCCCCUAGUAACGGCGAGCGAAGCGGGAAGAGCUCAAAUUUGAAAUCUGGUGGCCUCAGGUCAUCCGAGUUGUAAUCUAUAGAAGUGUUUUCCGUGCUGGCCCAUGUACAAGUCCCUUGGAACAGGGCGUCAUAGAGGGUGAGAAUCCCGUCCUUGACAUGGACUACCAGUGCUCUGUGAUACACUUUCAACGAGUCGAGUUGUUUGGGAAUGCAGCUCAAAAUGGGUGGUAAAUUCCAUCUAAAGCUAAAUAUUGGCGAGAGACCGAUAGCGAACAAGUACCGUGAGGGAAAGAUGAAAAGCACUUUGGAAAGAGAGUUAAACAGUAUGUGAAAUUGUUGAAAGGGAAACGAUUGAAGUCAGUCGUGCUCAAUGGACUCAGCCGUUCUGCGGUGUAUUUCCAUUGGGUGGGGUCAACAUCAGUUUUGAUCGCUGGAUAAAGGCAGGAGGAAUGUAGCACCCCCGGGUGAACUUAUAGCCUCUUGUCACAUACAGUGGUUGGGACUGAGGAACGCAGCAUGCCUUUAUGGCCGGGAUUCGUCCAC